UGGUGGAGUGAUUUGUCUGGUUAAUUCCGAUAACGAACGAGACUCUAGCCUGCUAAAUAGACUGGCGAUCCCUUCGUGGGUCGACCAGAUUUGCUUCUUAGAGGGGACAAGUGGCGUUCCUAGCCACGCGAAAUUGAGCAAUAACA
This 146-nucleotide ribosomal RNA is filed under the name uncultured eukaryote. RNAcentral's name for it is "partial 18S ribosomal RNA". It matches the Rfam family "Eukaryotic small subunit ribosomal RNA", at positions 1299 to 1458 of the family's 1831-position model. The record is from RNAcentral.